RNAcentral lists this ribosomal RNA (253 nucleotides) under uncultured bacterium. RNAcentral's name for it is "partial 16S ribosomal RNA". It matches the Rfam family "Bacterial small subunit ribosomal RNA", at positions 524 to 776 of the family's 1533-position model. The record is from RNAcentral.
UACGGAGGGGGCUAGCGUUGUUCGGAAUUACUGGGCGUAAAGCGCGCGUAGGCGGACCUGCAAGUCGGGGGUGAAAGCCCGAGGCUCAACCUCGGAACUGCCUUCGAUACUGCGGGUCUCGAGUCCGGGAGAGGUGAGUGGAAUUCCUAGUGUAGAGGUGAAAUUCGUAGAUAUCAGGAGGAACACCGGUGGUGUAGACGGCUCACUGGACCGUAACUGACGCUGAGACACGAAAGCGUGGGUAGCAAACAGG